AGAGUUGAUCCUGGCUUAGGACAAACGCUGGCGGCGUGCCUAAUACAUGCAAGUCGAACGAGAAGCAGGAGCUUGCUCCUGUGGAAAGUGGCGGACGGGUGAGUAAUAUGUAGGAAAUCUGCCCUUAGGUGGGGGACAACAGUUGGAAACGACUGCUAAUACCGCAUAUGUGCUUGGUUGAAAUACCAAUCAUGAAAGAUUUAUUGCCUGAGGAUGAGCCUGCAUCUGAUUAGCUUGUUGGUGGUGUAAAGGACUACCAAGGCGACGAUCAGUAGCUGGUUUGAGAGGAUGAUCAGCCACAAUGGGACUGAGACACGGCCCAUACUCCUACGGGAGGCAGCAGUAGGGAAUUUUGCGCAAUGGGCGAAAGCCUGACGCAGCAAACCGCCGCGUGAGCGAUGAAGCCCCUCGGGGUGUAAAGCUCUGUCAGUAGGGAUGAAUUUUGACCGUACCUACAGAGGAAGCAUCGGCUAACUACGUGCCAGCAGCCGC
This 492-nucleotide ribosomal RNA is filed under the name uncultured bacterium. RNAcentral's name for it is "bacterial SSU rRNA". It matches the Rfam family "Bacterial small subunit ribosomal RNA", at positions 8 to 518 of the family's 1533-position model. The record is from RNAcentral.